GCCUCUCCCGGGCAGGGUGGCGGCAGCUGCCCCCGAGGACGGAAAGAAGUGACAGGGGAGCGGGAUCUCCGGCCUGGACCCGGCUCUUCUGCCUGACCUCGGCCAGCCGCUCUCGUCAGCACCGUGGUGCCUCCUCCUCCGGCAGCCCCCGUAGGUUUGGGGGAAGAAACAAGGGACAGCUCACGCCCAUCUCUUCUCUAAAACAGCUUCCAGUUUCAGGUACAGGCUGUGCUAAGGAGGAGCUCCCUGCCACCUAAAACUAGGAUGAGUUACUCUUCCCAGCUCUUGGGAUCAGCGCAAGCCCCACCUGUUUGUGCAAGCAGCACCAACGGCAGGCAACGUUUAGUCUAAAAAGUCUAUCCCUAAUCUCCACUUGCAAAUCUGUGAAGGCAAUGGGAAACGCGAACUGUAAAUAUUUUAGGUACCGACAGAGAAACUCUUGAGCUAUAUAUAUGGCACCUGCAAGGAUGGCAGUACUAAAUGUAUGUUUAUGCUGAAAUGAUGUUUAAAGUGGACUGCAUGCUCCCAUAACUUCCCUCCUGAAGCAGACACCAUUUGGUUCAAAAGCAGAGCACUGAAAAAAAAAUUAACCAAGGAAGAGAGAGAAAAACAGACUGAUGAAUACAAUGGAAUGAAAUUGGGAAUAAAUGUGGAGGCUGUGAUGGAAAGGAAAAGGACACUAGAGUUGGAAAUGCAAAUCUGGAUCUGGGAUCGGUAUCAUGUUAGGGGCUGAACUGGAGCACCAUACUUCUGGAACAAGGCAGUUGUUGCUGCUUAAAACUGCUAUCUGAGAGACGUGCUUCCCAUUCUGAGGAUACUGGAAAUGAGUGAGUCAUUGUACCUUAAAGGAAGACACAGCACAGGUUUUAUUCAGAAAUUUCUUAAUGCUACUUCUUAGAUGAUUUCUGAAUAAUGUAUUCUGUGUGAAGGACACUUUUUUAUCACUUACGUAGCACCAUUUCACUAAACAGUCUCCUGAAUGUCACUGUCACACAAUUCUACACAAUUCUGGGCUGCAGUGACCUGAAAUUUCUGGGUCUGAGAGUCAGACUUUGCAAUAGUAUAUAACAGCUGUUUCCUCUUCAGAAAUGAUUACAUGAUUUUUAGUAUUUAGCUGGGGAUAGUUUUCAACAAGCAGCUAGUAUGUUUGCUCUGUUUUGGUAAUUUUUGUGAAACUAAAUUGAUAAUUCAGUUAGUAAAAUAUGUAUGCUACUGAAAAUCAGUUAUACUGUAUUUUAGUUAAAUUUGUUUUGUAUUAUAGCAAAGUUCUUGAAGUACUGUUCACUUAUUAAUACAUACAAGCAUAACCAAUUUACAAACUUUGUUCUUUUACACAUCAGGAGCCUGUUAUAUUGUUACUUAACACUAAUAUUUUUGUGGCUGCUGUCCAGGCCUCCAUGUCAUUUCCACUGAAAUUCUUUGGCAGUUCAAAAAAUAAUCCAGGUCGUGGGAGUGAGAGUACUGCCCAUGCAGAAUCAGAUAUGUAUGUUGUAAUUUAUGCAUGAUUUUGACCUGUAGGAAUGGGCAUCAUACUAUUUCUGUGAGCAGAUACAGCCUAAAGGAAAAGUUAUAAUCUGUUAACUAUCCAUCAACAGUUGUCUCCAAACCUUAUGGAGUCAAAGUAGAGAACUUACUUACAGAGUGACCAAGGAUAAGUAAGGAUGGCAGAGUCUUAUUUGUGAUCUAAGCAAUGUCUGAUAAUAUGGAAGGGAUGCAGGUUUACAGGCAGUUUUAAAAUUGAACUAGAAAUUUACCUAGGGGCUAGAUAUUUCUGAAAUGACUACUGACUUUCUGCGCUGGUAUAUAAAAUGAUGCUUGUCAGACUAGUUAUUCCCACUGCAACUAGUUUUACAAUACUUUUAUGUGAUUUAACAUUUUUAUCCACAAAAUUUGGCGUACAAUAUAAUUAGAAUAAAUUAAAUUAUGGUUAACCUAAAUUAUUUAAUGAUUGCUGCAUGAAUACUAAGACCACAUACAGGCCCAGGUAUUACUUAGGUGGGAUUAUUAAGACAAUAGAUAUAAAAGAAUCGCUAAACACUGCUCCUCUAUUCUUUUGUGCAAGUUUCCUUACUUGUAAUGAUUUAAUGAGUUAAGAGAGGCUGCCCAUAGGAAUAGGGAAUCAAUAGCUUUAAAUUGUCAUUGAUCUUUUAAUGUUUAUUGGAGUUGGUUGCUGCUGCUGCUGCUGCUUUGGUUUCACUGCAUGAAACUGAAAAGCCAGAGCUAAGAAUGACAUUAUGGGGAAACCUAGUAUUUUACGCAGGAGGGGACAGGAUGAAGGAACGGAAUGGUGCAGGGGAUCCCAAGGAACCUGCAGGAAGGAGGAAGGUAAGAAUGGAAAGAAAGAAGAUUCACAGGAAAGGAAUUUAUUACAAGGAGUACUACAAUUGUGCAUCACAGUUUCUUGAAAAUGUUUGGAUUUAAAAAUUUAACCUUAACAAUUCAGCAGGCUGGGUUCUAAGAUAAUUAGAACUGUAUUUUCCUUUCAUUUAAAGUCACUGUCUUGCAAUCUUAACUUCAUUUUAUCAUAGCUUUUUUAGUUUGGAAUUCAAAUUAAGAAAUACUUCAUUUCAUUUUCAUAUGCAACAAAUAAAAGACUGGUAGACCAUGUAACCACAUGCUACAUACUACAUGAGCACUAAAAGUUGUUCCAUACAAGCCUUGUAAAUAACUUAAUGAAAGUUCACUCUUACACCAAUUGCAUCAUCUGUUUAUUUAGGAUAAUCUCAUAGAACUAAAUACACACAGGAAACAAAACCUCUGUUCCUGUGUCUUACUCCAAGAUAGGAAAAAUAACUGCAUAUAAAAAAGACUUAAUUGCAGAAUAAUUCCUUAAGUAAUAACAGAAAAUGCCCUUUCAUUUAAACCACAAUUUAGGCUUAAUCACAGGGGGAAAAAAAGUGUAUCUUUUCCUUGUCAUAGUAGACAAACAUCUCAACAUGAAGCCCUACACAGUGCUGCAGCAUUGUCAUCCUGGGUUAUAUAAACAAGGAAAUCAUAAGAUAGUGUAGGAAGACAUUUCAAACAUUAACUGUGUUUGAUUAUGCUUAAAUUUAAUGGAUCUUGACACAAUGAAGCAUGCAAAGAGAGUCUUAAAAAUAACUUGAUUAGAAUAAUGUCUUUCAGGGAUGUAAGAGAAUAUAACAAUGUGAAAUUAGAUAGAAAUAUAGACAAACAGGAGGAUAUAGAAAUAAACAUAAGUAAACUGAUCUUGAUCAAGCUGAGUAUUAUCAAGAAUAAAGGAAUUUUUAGAAAACAGAUGACAUUUAAAAAAACCCUGAAAGUUGAAAUCAAACUUAUAGAAAUAAGGCACAUUUUUUCAUCUUUCCCUUUCGAGUCUCUCAAAGAAAGUGGAGAAAUUCAUAUGUGGAUAUCUUCCAAACAUGAGUGGACGAUUUUCUAAAAGUUAUGCAUUUUGUACUACACAUUAUUAGGUUCAACAAGAAAGUAUCAGGCUAACAUUCUGGGUCUGUGUUGUAAAGACAAGAUAAUUGUCUCUGAAAUCUCCCUUCUAGAGGUCUAUAAGGCAGAUUUUUUUUCUCAUUUCAUAAGAACUUGUUACCAACAAUUUUCUGCUAACUCCAGAACUAGGAGAGAAAAAUAGACAACUUUGUGAGUAUCAAGCCUGGAUGUGUAUAUCUUUCUAACCACCUAUAACCUAUUUUGUCUUUUAAAUAUAGCAAAUAAAUACUUUUAUGUUCCAAGCAUAAAACUCAGUCCUCUAAUUGAUUUUGCAUAGGUGGCAAGAUUAGCAAAGAGCUUCUCUGGAUUCUUUGUGAGCACAAAGAUCCAACUGUAGACUUGAAAAUGCUUUGAGGAUCACAUCUCAUAGAGAAGGAAGCAUAAAAAGGAGCCUGUAGAGCCUCGGGAAUUUUCCAUGCAAUCUUAAACUGAGACAGAGUAAAGAACUUAAUCUGAAUUUAUGAUUCUGAGAGAUGCUUUUUAGUUGUCACCUAAAGCAAGAACAACCUACGUUUCAAGUAUUUUAAGAUGGCUACACCUUUUCCAGACAGCUAUACCUUUUCCAGACAUCUAUACCUUUUCCAGACAUAGUGCUGGAAUAGCAACCAGUAUCAUCAGAUCCUGAGAUGACAUUGACCAGCUGCAGCAUGCAUUGAUGACAGGUGUCAUGCACAGCCAUGUACCUGAUGUCAUCAUGUCCCUCAAACCCCUGGUGUUCACCAGUGACCAACUCCAGCUGUGCACUGCAUUCACUCCCCUACAUUCCUUUCCUUCACUUUUUCCUAAUAGCUGUACCAUCUGUGAAUGGGUAAUAGGACUAUCUGCAGCUCUGCACCACAGAGACAGAGAGGAAAGCAGAAUAAGACUGGCCAUUGGUAGGAUAUAAAAUAUGUUCUGAGCUACAGAGAUGCCAUUGCCUGCACUGACCCCCAUGUGUCCAUUUGGUUUUGAGAGAGGUACUUGGCCUUAAAUAUAAACUUACAUGGAAUCUGUUCCUUCUGCCUAGAAUGAAUGAAGUCAAAAGUACCAUUUUGAGUACGGUGUUUAUCCUCAAGGGGAAAUUUGCUCUAUAUCUUUCUCUGUACAACAGUUACUGGAGCAACUCCAAUCUUCACUUGGAGGCUCAGCCAAUAAGGCAAAGAAUAGGCCUUCUUCGGUGAGAUUCUGCAGGGUACCAGGGCACAUAUGUACAGAAAGAACAAGGACAAAGCUUUCGCUCCUUAUACAGGCUGCUCUACUCCUUUUCUUAGUAGGUAUCCCCCUGAGUCAGGCAGUUUCCUUUCUGUAGGUGGUAGGAGCUGGAACUUGGUGUGUGAAUGUCUACGGACAAUCAGAAAAUCUGGUCUUCAGGAUACCAUCAGUGUCACUAUACCUUGAUAGUUUCAGCACAGCUGUGUAGUAAGACAUUAGAGGUGAAGAAAAGGUUGCUAAAUAUUUCACCUUCGGAUCUCAAAUUUCUUUCUGUUCAAUUUUUAA
This is a long non-coding RNA of Aquila chrysaetos chrysaetos, 4935 nucleotides long. RefSeq lists it as uncharacterized. The record is from RefSeq and is a predicted model, not a curated record. The transcript is spliced from 3 exons. Lineage: Eukaryota; Metazoa; Chordata; Aves; Accipitriformes; Accipitridae.